This 783-nucleotide long non-coding RNA is filed under the name Lynx pardinus (Iberian lynx). Lineage: Eukaryota; Metazoa; Chordata; Mammalia; Carnivora; Felidae. The record is from RNAcentral.
AGGUACCAAAAUAUAGACAGAAUGGCAGAGUGCUAGUGUUUGAUCCAAAGGGUAAAUGAUUUAUUACUUAAAAAAAAAUAUGUUUCAUCACCAUUUUGUCCUAAAUAUUAAGAAGAUAGUCUACUGGAGCGAUUGAAUGUGAUUGAAGUCUUAGCAAUUAAAUCCUUUAGUAUAUUGCCUGUCAUUCAAAAACUGCUUAAGUAUAUUUACCAAUCAGGAAUUCCUGUUAGGAACAUUACUACAGAUAAAAUACUGAGUUGUGUUUUUCUUUUCUUCUCUUUCAGCAAAAGUGAUGCUUGAACCAAAUGAAGCAAUGUCAGAGUAAGAUGUCUCUGGUUGUGCAGCUGAUCUAUCACAUGCCUUUUAAGCAAUUAGAACUAGAUAAUGCAAUCAUUUGUCACCCAAUUAAAUUUGAAAGGCCAGAAAUGCAUGGAUUAGCACUUUAAUUUUUGCUUCGGUCAAAGCAGUUGUUACUUUAGAUAAAAGGGCAUUUAAAAUGAAAAAUGAUUUUUGAUAAAAGUCUAGAGGUAUAAAUAAUAUUCACUUCCACUUUUUAAAUGCUUAAAUACCAAGUAAUCGGUAUUUUACUUAUACAACUUUCAUUGCUCAUUCCUAUUUCUUCUUGGUACUUGCUUAUUUCUUUCAGAAUAUCCCUUUAAAUUAAUAUUUACUUUAAAGAUUCUUUAUUUACUAUGAGAUGAAUCAUUACUACUAAAUAAGGGAACUAAUCGCCCUAAUUAGUUGAAGGGACUGGUGUUAAAAAGAAUCAUGGUUCAAUUUCAG